CAAGGUCGCCCAGGUGAGAUGGGCAUGCCUGGACCACAAGGAUACAGAGGAUCGUCUGGUAUCCAGGGUAACAUUGGACCAUGGGGUGAGGUUGGGCCCCAUGGCCUUCCAGGUGACCAGGGGCCACAAGGUCCUGUUGGCCCGCUUGGAGUUACUGGUUACC
Molecule: long non-coding RNA, 163 nt
Organism: Etheostoma spectabile (orangethroat darter)
Lineage: Eukaryota; Metazoa; Chordata; Actinopteri; Perciformes; Percidae
Exons: 3
Source: RefSeq, a predicted model, not a curated record